This 400-nucleotide ribosomal RNA is filed under the name uncultured Glomeromycotina. RNAcentral's name for it is "eukaryotic LSU rRNA". Lineage: Eukaryota; Fungi; Glomeromycota. The record is from RNAcentral.
GAAAAGAACUUUGAAAAGAGAGUUAAAUAGUACGUGAAAUUGUUGAAAGGGAAACGAUUGAAGUCAGUCGUACUGGCGAAAAAUCAACUACUCGAGUGAGUACUUGUGGGCGUACGUGAGCUUCACGGCCGCGUUGUUUGCAAUGUUCGUGCUCUUGUGGUGUACUUUUUCGUGUGGUAGGUCAAUGUCGGUUUUGGACGCCAUAAAAUGACCGGUGGAAUGUAGCUUCAAUCUCGUAUUGAAGUGUUAUAGCCUCUGGUAGAUGCGGUAAUCGGGACUGAGGAUUGCAACGAAUACCCUUCGGGCUAUCCAUCUGACCUCUGAAGGUUACUUAGGUGCUGAAAGCGUGCUUACGGUUAUCCAAGUUGACUGUCAAUAGAUUAGAACGUGAUUACAUUCG